RNAcentral lists this ribosomal RNA (832 nucleotides) under Bipolaris sp. Its description in RNAcentral is "partial large subunit ribosomal RNA". It matches the Rfam family "Eukaryotic large subunit ribosomal RNA", at positions 69 to 919 of the family's 3401-position model. Lineage: Eukaryota; Fungi; Ascomycota; Dothideomycetes; Pleosporales; Pleosporaceae. The record is from RNAcentral.
CAGGGAUUGCCCUAGUAACGGCGAGUGAAGCGGCAACAGCUCAAAUUUGAAAUCUGGCUCUUUCAGAGUCCGAGUUGUAAUUUGCAGAGGGCGCUUUGGCUUUGGCAGCGGUCCAAGUUCCUUGGAACAGGACGUCACAGAGGGUGAGAAUCCCGUACGUGGUCGCUAGCUAUUGCCGUGUAAAGCCCCUUCGACGAGUCGAGUUGUUUGGGAAUGCAGCUCUAAAUGGGAGGUAAAUUUCUUCUAAAGCUAAAUAUUGGCCAGAGACCGAUAGCGCACAAGUAGAGUGAUCGAAAGAUGAAAAGCACUUUGGAAAGAGAGUCAAACAGCACGUGAAAUUGUUGAAAGGGAAGCGCUUGCAGCCAGACUUGCUUGCAGUUGCUCAUCCGGGCUUUUGCCCGGUGCACUCUUCUGUAGGCAGGCCAGCAUCAGUUUGGGCGGUGGGAUAAAGGUCUCUGUCACGUACCUCUCUUCGGGGAGGCCUUAUAGGGGAGACGACAUACCACCAGCCUAGACUGAGGUCCGCGCAUCUGCUAGGAUGCUGGCGUAAUGGCUGUAAGCGGCCCGUCUUGAAACACGGACCAAGGAGUCUAACAUCUAUGCGAGUGUUUGGGUGUCAAGCCCGAGCGCGUAAUGAAAGUGAACGGAGGUGGGAACCCGCAAGGGUGCACCAUCGACCGAUCCUGAAGUUUACGGAAGGAUUUGAGUAAGAGCAUGGCUGUUGGGACCCGAAAGAUGGUGAACUAUGCUUGAAUAGGGUGAAGCCAGAGGAAACUCUGGUGGAGGCUCGCAGCGGUUCUGACGUGCAAAUCGAUCGUCAAAUUUGGGCAUA